AGAGUUUGAUCAUGGCUCAGAGCGAACGCUGGCGGCAGGCUUAACACAUGCAAGUCGAGCGGGCGUAGCAAUACGUCAGCGGCAGACGGGUGAGUAACGCGUGGGAACGUACCUUUUGGUUCGGAACAACACAGGGAAACUUGUGCUAAUACCGGAUAAGCCCUUACGGGGAAAGAUUUAUCGCCGAAAGAUCGGCCCGCGUCUGAUUAGCUAGUUGGUAGGGUAAUGGCCUACCAAGGCGACGAUCAGCAGCUGGUCUGAGAGGAUGAUCAGCCACAUUGGGACUGAGACACGGCCCAAACUCCUACGGGAGGCAGCAGUGGGGAAUAUUGGACAAUGGGGGCAACCCUGAUCCAGCCAUGCCGCGUGAGUGAUGAAGGCCCUAGGGUUGUAAAGCUCUUUUGUGCGGGAAGAUAAUGACGUAC
Molecule: ribosomal RNA, 425 nt
Filed under: uncultured organism
Description: bacterial SSU rRNA
Rfam family: Bacterial small subunit ribosomal RNA
Source: RNAcentral